RNAcentral lists this ribosomal RNA (868 nucleotides) under uncultured Flavobacteriia bacterium. Its description in RNAcentral is "bacterial SSU rRNA". It matches the Rfam family "Bacterial small subunit ribosomal RNA", at positions 1 to 861 of the family's 1533-position model. The record is from RNAcentral. Lineage: Bacteria; Pseudomonadati; Bacteroidota; Flavobacteriia.
UUCGCCCUUAGAGUUUGAUCAUGGCUCAGGAUGAACGCUAGCGGCAGGCUUAACACAUGCAAGUCGAGGGGUAACAGAGAAAAGCUUGCUUUUUUGCUGACGACCGGCGCACGGGUGCGUAACGCGUAUACAAUCUGCCUUAUACAGAGGGAUAGCCUUUAGAAAUGAAGAUUAAUACCUUAUAGUCUAUAUAUAUAGCAUUAUAUAAAUAGUAAAGCUUCGGUGGUAUAAGAUGAGUAUGCGUCCUAUUAGUUAGUUGGUGAGGUAACGGCUUACCAAGACAACGAUAGGUAGGGGCCCUGAGAGGGGGAUCCCCCACACUGGUACUGAGACACGGACCAGACUCCUACGGGAGGCAGCAGUGAGGAAUAUUGGACAAUGGAGGCAACUCUGAUCCAGCCAUGCCGCGUGCAGGAAGACGGCCCUAUGGGUUGUAAACUGCUUUUAUAUAGGAAGAAACCUUUUCACGUGUGAGAAGCUGACGGUACUAUAAGAAUAAGGACCGGCUAACUCCGUGCCAGCAGCCGCGGUAAUACGGAGGGUCCGAGCGUUAUCCGGAAUCAUUGGGUUUAAAGGGUCCGUAGGCGGGAAUCUAAGUCAGUGGUGAAAUCUUGCAGCUCAACUGUAAAAUUGCCAUUGAUACUGGAUUUCUUGAAUUAGUGUGAAGUGGUUAGAAUGUGUAGUGUAGCGGUGAAAUGCAUAGAUAUUACACAGAAUACCAAUUGCGAAGGCAGAUCACUAACACUAUAUUGACGCUGAGGGACGAAAGCGUGGGGAGCGAACAGGAUUAGAUACCCUGGUAGUCCACGCCGUAAACGAUGGAUACUAGCUGUUCGGUCUUCGGACUGAGUGGCUAAGCGAAAGUGAU